Small nucleolar RNA from Cavia porcellus (domestic guinea pig), 137 nucleotides. NCBI's taxonomy places the organism in Eukaryota, Metazoa, Chordata, Mammalia, Rodentia, Caviidae. The record is from Rfam.
GUGGCCCUGAAUCAAGGCCAGCAGUUUGUUGUAGCUGCUGAUUUUAAACAGGAGCCUAAAGAGAAGUCGUUCCAGGGUCUGAUGGCCAUUUUAGAACUUUGAAAAUAUAAAGGCCAAUUCAUUGGAAAUAGCUUAGA